AAAAAUAAGAAGCUGGAAUAUUGUGUGCCGACUGCCAUGGACCAGGAGGACUGGUUGCUGAGCAGUGCAUUUCCAUUACCUGAAAUGGAGUCAUUUUUGGUUUAACCUAGUACGAGAUCAGAAUCAGACUCAUUAAAUUUAGCCUUCAAGCUGCCGUCUUUCAUGAGAGCCCAUCAUGCAYCAAGAUCUGAAGAGCUGUUGCAUGUCUGAAACUGCCUGGCUUGUCUGGCUCAACAUACAAUAUUUUGAAGACGUAAAUUCUGGCUUGUAUCCAAGUGGAUGCCACUAAAAUCUUGCACGCUGCCUGGUAUGCAUUGAGCAACACUUAUUUCUGUGCCAGCUCAGAGUUUGAUGCAAAAAAUGUCCUAAAUAAUGUUCCAUUAAAGAACUCGUA
Molecule: long non-coding RNA, 394 nt
Organism: Nothoprocta perdicaria
Lineage: Eukaryota; Metazoa; Chordata; Aves; Tinamiformes; Tinamidae
Exons: 4
Source: RefSeq, a predicted model, not a curated record